RNAcentral lists this small RNA (159 nucleotides) under Serratia fonticola. Its description in RNAcentral is "SraG RNA". It matches the Rfam family "SraG RNA". Rfam says of the family: This RNA was discovered in E. coli during a large scale screen. Evidence was found for specific cleavage of this RNA. The record is from Rfam by way of RNAcentral. Lineage: Bacteria; Pseudomonadati; Pseudomonadota; Gammaproteobacteria; Enterobacterales; Yersiniaceae.
CUUCUCACUACAUCCUCGCGACUAAUGACAAUCCUUAUCUCUCAUGAGAUAAAGCCUCUCAUUAGCCGCGCGAACCUCUGUAACGGAAGAUCCUCAGUAAUACAUUAACCUGAUUUGCUUAUGCUUCCUAGAAGAAAGGGGCCACAUUUGGCCCCUUUC